RNAcentral lists this long non-coding RNA (1345 nucleotides) under Felis catus (domestic cat). RNAcentral describes it as "lncRNA (ENSFCAG00000052534.1)". The record is from RNAcentral. Lineage: Eukaryota; Metazoa; Chordata; Mammalia; Carnivora; Felidae.
AUGCUUCAGCCCAGAUCUCCUGACAGCCUCGUAGGAGUUUUCCCUUUUCCUGUCACGGUGCUUUCCACCAUGACUAGGCCGCAGCUCCCAUGUCCUCAGAGAAUGCCAACCAAGGUCUCUAUGGACCAAAGCAAAGCACAGCUGAUCACGUCUCAUUUCUUAACCGCGCUGCCCUGGAAAGAAAGCACCAGUGAAUUCCAUCUCAAGAAAGCAUCUGUCUUCGUCUGUUCAGACUGGACUACUGCACAGUACCGGACGGGGAGAUUACAUACAGCAGACAUUUAUUUUUCACGGUUCUUGAGGCUGGAAGUCCGGGAUCAUGGUGUCAGCAGAUUCAGUGUCUAGAGAAAGACCUCUGGCAGGUUGCAGACUUUGUCUUGUGUCCUCACGUGGUGGAAGGGGCUAGGAGGCUCUGAGGGGGUUAUGUUAAAAGGGCACCAAUCCCAUUCACAAGGCCCCACCCUCAUGACCUGAUGACCUCCCAAAGAUGCCAACUUCUCAACACCAUCGUACUGGGCAUUAGGAUUUCAACAUACGAGUUUGUGGCAGCAAAACACAUUCAGACCAUAACUGCAUCCCAAAUAACUACGGGCUAGGGGAACAAAGGUCCCUUUGCAAAGUAACUGGAAAUGUCAACUGUCACGCCAUGCUGUAGUGACUGCAGCAGAGAUGAUGCUGCAUGUUUGUGUAUCAGUUUCCUGUGCUACCUGCGCGCAAAGGCAGACUACACGCUCCUGCCUCCGUCACAAUUAGAUCGGCCCCUCCCACGGAGUUUAAAGAAACGUCGGUGAGCUUGGUGUGUGUGUCAUUUGCGCCCAGCCCCUAAGCGAUCUUCUGUGUGUCCUUUCCCCUCUGAUCAGUACGGAGGAUCCAGGGGAGGACACAGAGGCCCUGGGAAGUGGACACAGGGGCCCUAAGGAAGAAGCUGGGCCCUCAGGUAAGUGCUGGGGCAUAGGGACCCGGCACUCAAGGAUGGAGACCCGCACCGGGUUGCGGCAGCUGUGAGAAAAGAACCAUCGAGGGCUAAACCACUGAGGUCGGGGGCUUGCUCUGCUCACAGAUUAGCACACCCUAAGCAAAAUGUGGGGCUCCCAGAAGAGUCAGCAGAGCAGGCUGAAGUCAAAGCACGAAGUUAACGGGAAGGUACAAGGCCAUCAUGGCAGAGUUCAGAUUUACGUGACCACAGAGGAGACAACAAAGGUCCUGGGCUCACGGGGUCGCUCCAGCAAAGGCGGUGAGGGGGCAAGUCUAAAGCACGUGGCAGGGAUGACAAAGGGGAAAUGGCCGAAUCAGACGGAAGGGUGGUGCAGGUGGAAGGAUGCGAGUGAACGGUGACGCGUGUCGU